GAAAGGGAAAACAGGUUCAGGGUCCCAGCCCCAGCGUCAGCAGCCUGCCGCAGUCCUCGACCGCUCGCUGCUAUUGUAUUCGCGGAGACGAGACGACGACAGGCGUCGUACCAUUCAGCCCGGUCUCCGAUGCACUUCACACACACUCCCCGCUUUGACCAUCCUAAUCACGCCGUAAAGCGGUAAAACCCCCCAACCUGAUUCAAACCCCGCCGCCUAAACCCCUCCUAACCCCGCGGUUAAACCACUCCAGGCAUCGCCCAAAACCAAAACGGAACAGGUCGGCGACGCGCCGUGCCAGUUCAAGCCCCCAAACCUCACGAGGCCACCAGGCGAGAGAGGGAGGCUGCUCACGAGGAGCAGCAGCAGAAUCAGAACCAGCAGCGCCGCAGCCCCCGCAGCAAACGGCCCAAUCGCCGGCGCGAGGGGGUGGAGCUUCCCGUCCCGAGGUUCGUCGGCGCGGCCGUUUUCUCCCCGGUGUCCGGCGCCUCGAUCUCGUCUCCUAGCCGNNNNN
RNAcentral lists this long non-coding RNA (514 nucleotides) under Hordeum vulgare. RNAcentral's name for it is "long non-coding RNA (HVUL_LNC018486)". The record is from RNAcentral. Lineage: Eukaryota; Viridiplantae; Streptophyta; Magnoliopsida; Poales; Poaceae.